Molecule: ribosomal RNA, 404 nt
Filed under: Actinomycetes bacterium
Lineage: Bacteria; Bacillati; Actinomycetota; Actinomycetes
Description: Actinobacteria bacterium partial 16S ribosomal RNA
Rfam family: Bacterial small subunit ribosomal RNA
Source: RNAcentral
UGGGGAAUAUUGGACAAUGGGCGCAAGCCUGAUCCAGCCAUGCCGCGUGAGUGAUGAAGGCCCUAGGGUUGUAAAGCUCUUUCACCGGUGAAGAUAAUGACGGUAACCGGAGAAGAAGCCCCGGCUAACUUCGUGCCAGCAGCCGCGGUAAUACGAAGGGGGCUAGCGUUGUUCGGAUUUACUGGGCGUAAAGCGCACGUAGGCGGACUUUUAAGUCAGGGGUGAAAUCCCGGGGCUCAACCCCGGAACUGCCUUUGAUACUGGAAGUCUUGAGUAUGGUAGAGGUGAGUGGAAUUCCGAGUGUAGAGGUGAAAUUCGUAGAUAUUCGGACGAACACCAGUGGCGAAGGCGGCUCACUGGACCAUUACUGACGCUGAGGUGCGAAAGCGUGGGGAGCAAACAGG